AUACUUACCUGGCACAGGAGAUACCGUGAUCACGAAGGCGGUUCUCCUAAGGCGAGGCUCAUCAUUGCACUCCGGUGUCGCUGACCCUUGCGAUUAACCCAAAUGUGGUUAACUCGAGUGCGCAAUUUUUGUAAGCGGGGACUCCGUUCGCGCUAUCCCCUU
RNAcentral lists this small nuclear RNA (162 nucleotides) under Penaeus monodon (black tiger shrimp). RNAcentral's name for it is "U1 spliceosomal RNA". It matches the Rfam family "U1 spliceosomal RNA". From Rfam's summary of the family: U1 is a small nuclear RNA (snRNA) component of the spliceosome (involved in pre-mRNA splicing). Its 5' end forms complementary base pairs with the 5' splice junction, thus defining the 5' donor site of an intron. There are significant differences in sequence and secondary structure between metazoan and yeast U1 snRNAs, the latter being much longer (568 nucleotides as compared to 164 nucleotides in human). The record is from RNAcentral. Lineage: Eukaryota; Metazoa; Arthropoda; Malacostraca; Decapoda; Penaeidae.